UUAAUUGAAGCCAAAAAGAGGCAUAUCACUGUUAAUGAUACUACUAGAAAUUUUAUUUCUCAAUUAAG
RNAcentral lists this transfer RNA (68 nucleotides) under Chrysotus gramineus. RNAcentral describes it as "tRNA-Asn". The record is from RNAcentral. Lineage: Eukaryota; Metazoa; Arthropoda; Insecta; Diptera; Dolichopodidae.